AAUCUCAAAAAUUAACAUAACAUUAAACAUUAUGAAACAAUCACAUCCAAAAAAUUGAAUUAAAAUUAAACUCAGAAAUAUUAACAACUCGGAUAACACAAAGACUUGAUUCGAAAAAUCACCGCAAUGUCGAAUCUUAUCACUUCAAUAUUUAUCGCAUCGCAUCCACGGAAUUCAUCUUGUACCAACGAGUUUGUUGUAGAGUUUCAAGGCUACACAACCGAAUUGUUAUUGCUGA
RNAcentral lists this long non-coding RNA (238 nucleotides) under Lathyrus oleraceus (garden pea). RNAcentral's name for it is "Pisum sativum (pea) long non-coding RNA (PSAT_LNC003626)". Lineage: Eukaryota; Viridiplantae; Streptophyta; Magnoliopsida; Fabales; Fabaceae. The record is from RNAcentral.